AACGUAGGGGUCGAGCGUUAUCCGGAAUUACUGGGCGUAAAGCGCGUGCAGGCGGAUUGGCAAGUCGGACGUGAAAGCUCCUGGCUCAACUGGGAGAGGACGUUCGAAACUGCCGAACUUGAGGACGGUAGAGGCGAGUGGAAUUCCCGGUGUAGUGGUGAAAUGCGUAGAUAUCGGGAGGAACACCAGAGGCGAAGGCGGCUCGCUGGGCCGGUUCCUGACGCUGAGACGCGAAAGCCAGGGGAGAGAA
Molecule: ribosomal RNA, 250 nt
Filed under: uncultured bacterium
Lineage: Bacteria
Description: partial 16S ribosomal RNA
Rfam family: Bacterial small subunit ribosomal RNA
Source: RNAcentral